RNAcentral lists this ribosomal RNA (251 nucleotides) under uncultured bacterium. RNAcentral describes it as "partial 16S ribosomal RNA". It matches the Rfam family "Bacterial small subunit ribosomal RNA", at positions 524 to 777 of the family's 1533-position model. The record is from RNAcentral.
UACGUAGGGGGCAAGCGUUGUCCGGAAUUAUUGGGCGUAAAGAGCGUGUAGGCGGUCCGGUAAGUCAGCUGUGAAAGUCAAGGGCUCAACCCUUGAAAGCCGGUUGAUACUGUCGGGCUAGAGUCCGGAAGAGGCGAGUGGAAUUCCCGGUGUAGCGGUGAAAUGCGCAGAUAUCGGGAGGAACACCAAUGGCGAAGGCAGCUCGCUGGGACGGUACUGACGCUGAGACGCGAAGCGUGGGAGCAACAGGA